Molecule: ribosomal RNA, 857 nt
Filed under: Neodeightonia rattanica
Lineage: Eukaryota; Fungi; Ascomycota; Dothideomycetes; Botryosphaeriales; Botryosphaeriaceae
Description: eukaryotic LSU rRNA
Rfam family: Eukaryotic large subunit ribosomal RNA
Source: RNAcentral
CAACAGGGAUUGCCUUAGUAACGGCGAGUGAAGCGGCAACAGCUCAAAUUUGAAAGCUGGCCCUUUUAGGGUCCGCGUUGUAAUCUGUAGAGGAUGGUUCGGCGAGGGCUCCCGCCUAAGUCCCCUGGAACGGGGCGUCAUAGAGGGUGAGAAUCCCGUAUGCGGUGGGCUGCUUUAGCCAUGUGAACCUCCUUCGACGAGUCGAGUUGUUUGGGAAUGCAGCUCUAAAUGGGAGGUAAAUUUCUUCUAAAGCUAAAUACCGGCCAGAGACCGAUAGCGCACAAGUAGAGUGAUCGAAAGAUGAAAAGCACUUUGGAAAGAGAGUUAAAAAGUACGUGAAAUUGUUGAAAGGGAAGCGCUUGCAACCAGACUUGUCCGCAGUUGCUCAGCCGGUCUCCUGACCGGCGUACUCUUCUGCGGCCAGGCCAGCAUCAGUUCGGGCGGUCGGAUAAAGGCCUCGGGAAUGUGGCUCCUCUCGGGGAGUGUUAUAGCCCGGGGUGGAAUGCGGCCAGCCUGGACUGAGGAUCUCGCUUCGGCAAGGAUGCUGGCGUAAUGGUUGUAAGCGGCCCGUCUUGAAACACGGACCAAGGAGUCUAACAUCUAUGCGAGUGUUUGGGUGUCAAACCCAUACGCGUAAUGAAAGUGAACGGAGGUGGGAACCCGCAAGGGCGCACCAUCGGCCGAUCCUGAUGUCUUCGGAUGGAUUUGAGCAAGAGCAUAGCUGUUGGGACCCGAAAGAUGGUGAACUAUGCCUGAAUAGGGUGAAGCCAGAGGAAACUCUGGUGGAGGCUCGCAGCGGUUCUGACGUGCAAAUCGAUCGUCAAAUUUGGGUAUAGGGGCGAAAGACUAAUCGAACC